Long non-coding RNA from Homo sapiens (human), 1698 nucleotides. Ensembl annotates it as TAGAP antisense RNA 1. Its record names the gene TAGAP-AS1. Lineage: Eukaryota; Metazoa; Chordata; Mammalia; Primates; Hominidae. The record is from Ensembl.
CCUGGCUAGGGAGGCGGCCUUGGCUGGCUUGACCGUCAUCCUUGAGGCCUGCGGGGCAACGGUGGCUGUCCUUGGCCCGGCUUUGGAAUGUGGCUUUGCAGGGCUGGUGUUGGCGCCAUUCUCGCAGGCCCACGUGCUCCUGCUCUUCCAGGGUGUCCUCGGCUGUUUCUCCUGCCGCGGCGCAGCAGCGCUCCCAGGCUGCCCCCGCGAUAACACGCCCCUGGCAGCCAGGCUCCCAGCUCUGUUACGUGCCCGGGCGGGGAAGAGCUUCCUGGUGUCUCCCGGCUCCUGCCCUUCUCCCGCCCCAGGGGCGGGCUGCCGCCGCCCUCUGCAGCUGAGUCAGUGCAGUUCCUCACCUACCUUCUCUGCUCACCGCUGUGUGCUAGCAAUCGGAGGACCCUUGGCACACGGAGCGACAGGGGCCUCCCCCACAGACACCUCAUUUUGGGAAAGAAGCUGUACAGGAGGCAUGGCUGGGGAGGCCUCAGAAAACUUACAAUCAUGGCAGAAGGUGAAGGGGAAGCCAGCACAUCUUCAUAUGAUGGCAGGAACUUUAUAUGUUAUAGAAGUUAGCCCCAAGAAUGAAAUCGUGUCCUUUGCCAAAACAUGGAUGGAGCUAGAGGCCUUUAUCCUAACAAGCUCUCAUCGUCCUGCAUAGUAAGAGUCUUCAGAACGUGGAAAGGAACUUCAGUGGCUUUUGCUGGGUUGGGCUGAAGGAAACCCCGGUGAAACCCACACCUGUAAAGAUGCUUCUCACAGUGGGACUUUUAUCGCUUGGGUCCUGGUCACAAUCAAUUUUUCUGCAAAUAAUUGGCUUUGCUUUUCUUGUGGUGAGUCUCUAAGGACAGUGAGUUCCGUUCUGGGGACUGUGAGUUCUAUGCUGUGUACAUGUGUGCUUUGGAGGGUGACUGGAAGCACCAUCGUUCCUUCCCAUACUUUCAGGCUCAGUUACCGCUUCAGUCUGGACUGUUGUGAACGAGAAUAUGGAAGUCAUUUUCCCCACAUUGUUUACCCAGCUUGCCUGGGAAACACCAACUGGAGGAUUAGAGUCCGGCUCUUCAGUUUGAACUCACUUUCCCUUUCUCUUCCUGGGACCACCCAGUGAUUCAGAGCCCUGCAUUCUGUAAUGAGAUUAAUGUCAACAGUUUCCUGCAUUGAAGAUUAUUUUCCCAAAGAGUUCACGAUUUCCUUCAGGACUUCUCCAUCACCCCAGUGUCUGGCUACCUAAUGACUGAUUAACAGGUUGAUUUUCUAGAAAACUCAAAUUACAAUUUCUUUUUUUUAAAAAAGGGCAAUCCAGCCUUUUCUCUGAUUAUCCGUCCUCCCCAUCUCCCACUUGUCCUAUGUUUUAGCCACACAGGCUGUUGUCAUCCCCUAAAAGUGUGCUUCUGAGUCUCCAGGCCUUUGAUAAAUUGUUCCCUCCUCCUGAAAUGCCAUUCACGCCAUCUGCCUUUUGGAAUUCUGCCCUUCCCUCGGAAUCUAGCCCAAGUCCUAUCUCCUCUAAGAAGGGACUUUUCUAGAUUGAAUUAAAUUUCCUUCCCUGGCCCUGCAUAGUGGCCGCACCCAGUAGACUGUGAGUCUACUUUUUUCAUCUUUUAUUCUUACAAGUGCCUGGCCUCAUAUUUUGCACACAGUAGGCAUUUGCUAUACUUUAAUUACUAGUAAAAUUGAGUGAUAAAAUAAAACAUUUAAAUCUCA